RNAcentral lists this ribosomal RNA (445 nucleotides) under uncultured bacterium. RNAcentral's name for it is "partial 16S ribosomal RNA". It matches the Rfam family "Bacterial small subunit ribosomal RNA", at positions 354 to 796 of the family's 1533-position model. The record is from RNAcentral.
GUGAGGAAUAUUGGUCAAUGGGCGAGAGCCUGAACCAGCCAAGUCGCGUGAAGGAAGAAGGAUCUAUGGUUCGUAAACUUCUUUUGCAGGGGAAUAAAGUGCAGGACGUGUCCUGUUUUGUAUGUACCCUGAGAAUAAGGAUCGGCUAACUCCGUGCCAGCAGCCGCGGUAAUACGGAGGAUACGAGCGUUAUCCGGAUUUCUUGGGGUUAAAGGGUGCGUAGGUGGUUUGAUAAGUCAGCGGUGAAAGUUUGCAGCUUAACUGUAAAAAUGCCGUUGAAACUGUCGGACUUGAGUGUAAAUGAGGUAGGCGGAAUGCGUGGUGUAGCGGUGAAAUGCAUAGAUAUCACGCAGAACUCCGAUUGCGAAGGCAGCUUACUAAGCUACAACUGACACUGAAGCACGAAAGCGUGGGGAUCAAACAGGAUUAGAUACCCCAGUAGUCC